GCCGAAGUAGCUCAGUGGCAGAGCAACGCACUCGUAAUGCGUAGGCCGGGGGUUCAAAUCCCCUCUUCGGCUCCA
RNAcentral lists this transfer RNA (75 nucleotides) under Firmicutes bacterium HGW-Firmicutes-14. Its description in RNAcentral is "tRNA-Thr". It matches the Rfam family "tRNA". From Rfam's summary of the family: Transfer RNA (tRNA) molecules are approximately 80 nucleotides in length. Their secondary structure includes four short double-helical elements and three loops (D, anti-codon, and T loops). Lineage: Bacteria; Bacillati; Bacillota. The record is from RNAcentral.